GCAUGUUCACAUGAUUAAAGGUAUUCCGGUAGACGAUGGGGAUGCGUUCCAUUAGAUAGUAGGCGGGGUAACGGCCCACCUAGUCUUCGAUGGAUAGGGGUUCUGAGAGGAAGGUCCCCCACAUUGGAACUGAGACACGGUCCAAACUCCUACGGGAGGCAGCAGUGAGGAAUAUUGGUCAAUGGGCGAGAGCCUGAACCAGCCAAGUAGCGUGAAGGAUGACUGCCCUAUGGGUUGUAAACUUCUUUUAUAAAGGAAUAAAGUCGGGUAUGCAUACCUGUUUGCAUGUACUUUAUGAAUAAGGAUCGGCUAACUCCGUGCCAGCAGCCGCGGUAAUACGGAGGAUCCGAGCGUUAUCCGGAUUUAUUGGGUUUAAAGGGAGCGUAGAUGGAUGUUUAAGUCAGUUGUGAAAGUUUGCGGCUCAACCGUAAAAUUGCAGUUGAUACUGGAUAUCUUGAGUGCAGUUGAGGCAGGCGGAAUUCGUGGUGUAGCGGUGAAAUGCUUAGAUAUCACGAAGAACUCCGAUUGCGAAGGCAGCCUGCUAAGCUGCAACUGACAUUGAGGCUCGAAAGUGUGGGUAUCAAACAGGAUUAGAUACCCUGGUAGUCCACACGGUAAACGAUGAAUACUCGCUGUUUGCGAUAUACAGCAAGCGGC
This 657-nucleotide ribosomal RNA is filed under the name uncultured bacterium. RNAcentral describes it as "bacterial SSU rRNA". It matches the Rfam family "Bacterial small subunit ribosomal RNA", at positions 187 to 847 of the family's 1533-position model. The record is from RNAcentral.